GUAGGUGAACCUGCGGAAGGAUCAUUAAUGAAACUUCAGAGUCGGCUUGUCUAUCUGUGCUGGUGGAGACACAUGUGCACGUUGACGGGUCGCAAAUCCACACACCUGUGCAUCUAUGACUCUGAGUGCCGCUUUGCAUGGCCCUCAGGGGCCUGGUACUCGAGUACUUUACACACUCUGAAUGUAAUGGAAUGUCUUUUGUACAAUGUACAACUAAAAACAACUUUCAUCAACGGAUCUCUUGGCUCUC
This 250-nucleotide unclassified non-coding RNA is filed under the name rhizosphere metagenome. RNAcentral's name for it is "partial ribosomal RNA internal transcribed spacer region". The record is from RNAcentral.